RNAcentral lists this ribosomal RNA (522 nucleotides) under Salmonella enterica subsp. enterica serovar Bredeney. RNAcentral's name for it is "bacterial SSU rRNA". It matches the Rfam family "Bacterial small subunit ribosomal RNA", at positions 993 to 1515 of the family's 1533-position model. Lineage: Bacteria; Pseudomonadati; Pseudomonadota; Gammaproteobacteria; Enterobacterales; Enterobacteriaceae. The record is from RNAcentral.
GAAGAAUCCAGAGAUGGAUUGGUGCCUUCGGGAACCGUGAGACAGGUGCUGCAUGGCUGUCGUCAGCUCGUGUUGUGAAAUGUUGGGUUAAGUCCCGCAACGAGCGCAACCCUUAUCCUUUGUUGCCAGCGGUCCGGCCGGGAACUCAAAGGAGACUGCCAGUGAUAAACUGGAGGAAGGUGGGGAUGACGUCAAGUCAUCAUGGCCCUUACGACCAGGGCUACACACGUGCUACAAUGGCGCAUACAAAGAGAAGCGACCUCGCGAGAGCAAGCGGACCUCAUAAAGUGCGUCGUAGUCCGGAUUGGAGUCUGCAACUCGACUCCAUGAAGUCGGAAUCGCUAGUAAUCGUGGAUCAGAAUGCCACGGUGAAUACGUUCCCGGGCCUUGUACACACCGCCCGUCACACCAUGGGAGUGGGUUGCAAAAGAAGUAGGUAGCUUAACCUUCGGGAGGGCGCUUACCACUUUGUGAUUCAUGACUGGGGUGAAGUCGUAACAAGGUAACCGUAGGGGAACCUGC